This 393-nucleotide unclassified non-coding RNA is filed under the name soil metagenome. RNAcentral describes it as "partial contains 5.8S ribosomal RNA, internal transcribed spacer 2, and large subunit ribosomal RNA". The stretch from base 1 to 122 matches the Rfam family "5.8S ribosomal RNA", at positions 35 to 154 of the family's 154-position model. The record is from RNAcentral.
GAUGAAGAACGUAGCGAAAUGCGAUACUUGGUGUGAAUUGCAGAAUCCCGUGAACCAUCGAGUCUUUGAACGCAAGAUGCGCCCGAAGCCAUUAGGCCGAGGGCACGCCUGCCUGGGCGUCACACGUCGUUGCCCCCCCCCAUCUACUCCUUCGGGAUUGCGGGGGGCGGAUGAUGGCCUCCCGUGCGCCUCGCCGCGCGGUUGGCAUAAAUGCCGAGUCCUCGGCGACGCACGCCAUGACAAUCGGUGGUUGCGAAACCUCGGUUGCCCGUCGUGUGCGGUCGUCGCGCAUCGAGGGCUCGAAAAAAUUGCCGAGUUCCGGCUCGGCUUUCAACGCGACCCCAGGUCAGGCGGGGUUACCCGCUGAAUUUAAGCAUAUCAAUAAGCGGAGGA